RNAcentral lists this ribosomal RNA (497 nucleotides) under uncultured bacterium. Its description in RNAcentral is "partial 16S ribosomal RNA". It matches the Rfam family "Bacterial small subunit ribosomal RNA", at positions 29 to 507 of the family's 1533-position model. The record is from RNAcentral.
UAUGAACGCUGGCGGCGUGCCUAAUACAUGCAAGUCGAGCGAACAGAUGAGGAGCUUGCUCCUCUGACGUUAGCGGCGGACGGGUGAGUAACACGUGGAUAACCUACCUAUAAGACUGGGAUAACUUCGGGAAACCGGAGCUAAUACCGGAUAAUAUAUUGAACCGCAUGGUUCAAUAGUGAAAGACGGUUUUGCUGUCACUUAUAGAUGGAUCCGCGCCGCAUUAGCUAGUUGGUAAGGUAACGGCUUACCAAGGCAACGAUGCGUAGCCGACCUGAGAGGGUGAUCGGCCACACUGGAACUGAGACACGGUCCAGACUCCUACGGGAGGCAGCAGUAGGGAAUCUUCCGCAAUGGGCGAAAGCCUGACGGAGCAACGCCGCGUGAGUGAUGAAGGUCUUCGGAUCGUAAAACUCUGUUAUUCGGGAAGAACAAAUGUGUAAGUAACUAUGCACGUCUUGACGGUACCUAAUCAGAAAGCCACGGCUAACUACGUG